Molecule: small nuclear RNA, 196 nt
Filed under: Corchorus olitorius
Lineage: Eukaryota; Viridiplantae; Streptophyta; Magnoliopsida; Malvales; Malvaceae
Description: U2 spliceosomal RNA
Rfam family: U2 spliceosomal RNA
About the family: U2 is a small nuclear RNA (snRNA) component of the spliceosome (involved in pre-mRNA splicing).
Source: Rfam by way of RNAcentral
AUACCUUUCUCGGCCUUUUGGCUAAGAUCAAGUGUAGUAUCUGUUCUUAUCAGUUUAAUAUCUGAUACGUGGGUCAUUGACCCACAUGAUAUUAAAUUUAUUUAUUUAGGGGGAGGGUCCAUCACAGUAGCUUGCUACUGGGAUCCUCGAGCGUCGCCCAUGCGUUGCACUACAGCACGGGCCUGGCGCACCCCAC